GAAGGUAUAGCUCAAGUGGUAGAGCACAUGCCUAGCAUGCUCAAGGUCCUGGGUUCAUUCCCCAGUAUCUCCU
Camelus ferus (Wild Bactrian camel) is the source of this 73-nucleotide transfer RNA. It matches the Rfam family "tRNA". Rfam says of the family: Transfer RNA (tRNA) molecules are approximately 80 nucleotides in length. Their secondary structure includes four short double-helical elements and three loops (D, anti-codon, and T loops). The record is from Rfam. NCBI's taxonomy places the organism in Eukaryota, Metazoa, Chordata, Mammalia, Artiodactyla, Camelidae.